Callorhinus ursinus (northern fur seal) is the source of this 5293-nucleotide non-coding RNA. NCBI's taxonomy places the organism in Eukaryota, Metazoa, Chordata, Mammalia, Carnivora, Otariidae. The record is from RefSeq and is a predicted model, not a curated record.
GAUAGAUAAGAUAGCUAGCUAGCUAGCUAGAUAGAUAGAUUUAAGUAACAAAUGUAAAGAACAGCCCUGGAAAGACAAUGACAACAGCCAGAGCCUGCUCAGAGUGGCUCACCGUGCUCACCCAACGUUGAGUAUGGUUCUCCUUCUUGGGCACCAUGGGUGCCCCCAAACACAGACUUCUGCCUCAGUGAUUGACUGGAGGCUGCCCCCUCCUAACCAGUCCGCAGUCAACCCGAGUUCUCCCAAGUUCUCCCAAGUUCUCCCUCCUCCCUGGCAUCCCCCAUGCUUCGCUUCUGGCACAGGGAUGUUCCGGGUGAAGCUUUUCUUCAGGGCGCCUCAUUCCCUCUCAGUACACUCUCACAGUGUCCCCGACAGGCGAGCCCUGGCAGCCUCUUCCUGCAUCUUUCCUCUUACCCUUAAGACAAAGGCGUUCAAGGCUCUUGGUUUUAUAUUUCCACGGGCUAUUAAUAUUUUAAUGACAAGACCUAGAGAGUCGACGUAAAUAUAUCACAUUCUGUAAACAUUUCUUGAGCCUCUACUUAAUUACCAGACACUACUCUAGUCCUUCUACUUUCUCACAGCUAGCCUAUCAGCUUCCCAGAGGCUUCAGGUAAGAAACAGAGAAUCACAGUGUGCGACCCUCCGCACCCUCCUGCCCUUCAAAUCCAGCCAACGACCAAGUGUUGUGAGAUAUUUCUUCUGUCUCCCACACGUGUUUCUCCCUCUCUCUUUCGACUGGGCACCUCACCUCAGCCCUUCCUAGUCUGUCGUUUGUACCCCUGAGUCCAGAGCCUCAACCUUCCUCCAACCUAUUCUGCACAACCGCAUCUUCCUCAAAAGCCUCCUUAUCCAACCCCCCCAACUCCAUCAAAUCCUUUGAUGGUUUCCUCCCCAGAUUUCAUUCAAGGUUCUCUGUGACCCUGCCCGAACUCUCUGGAGCGGGAUAUAUUCAUAGACACCCUGCCUCACCCUGGCAGGGUGUCUAUGAAUAUAGACAGGGGUCUUAGGGAAGGAAGGAGGAGGGGGGUCUGGGUAUCAGUCUGACUAGAGGGCUGUGUACCCAGGAGGGCUUUAGCGCAAUGUGGCCGGGCAAAAUUCUGAAUCAUAGUCAGUGAGGGCAGCCAAAUUCCUAUCUGGGAAAUCAGGGCAGUCUGAAGGGUGAGGCCAAGCCGUAAACAGAAUGAGUAAUGAGGUCAGAAGCUGGUGGGGACCAGAAUCAUGUCUAGAUGCAGUUCAAGGAAACGGAAAUGGUACAGGACUGAGGCUGUGGAUUGAAUUUUAAGAAGGUAUGCUGCUCUACAUGGGGAUGGGGGCGGGAAGAGCAGCCCUCGAAAUCUCCCCUCCCUCUGGCUUUGCUCUUUGGGUUUUCAUGUGUGUGGAAAUGCCCGUCUUCCCUGCCCCGCAGUUUCCCACGCUUCCCAGGGCCCCAGCACUGCUGAGUGACUUGUCCAAGGUAGUGUGGUGGCAGAUGUGGAAACAGAGCUCCGUCUCCCACCUAACAAGGGAUGUGCUAGGGAAGCAAGCUUAAACUCACGUUCGUCACAUCUCCACGUCUCAGAUUCCUCACCUGUAAAGCGAGGACAAUAAUAACGCUACUUCAUAAUAGUGUUACAUAAGAAUAAGACUACUCUGAGGAUUAGCCAAGCAAAUAUUUGUAAAACGCUUAGAACAGUGCUUGGCACAUAGUAAAUGCUGUAUAAGUGUUAGUUAAAUAAAAAUAAGGUGCACAGCUGGUAAAUAGGGCCAGUACUCAAAGUCAGUUCUAAUUUUAACAUUCUAGUCCUUAGAUCCUCCACUAAGGUCAACAGCAGGUUAUGAUGGACUCAGCUGACUAUAGGGCUUUCAAAAACUAAUUUUCAUGUCAACAAAGAAUAGAAAAACAUGCUGUUGGCUUAUUUUACUCAGGCACAACGGAAAUAUCACUUGAGUUAGCACCCUUUCCUGUUCUUAGGAAACCACUAAGAAAUCCAGACGGACCAGUUCAAAUAAUAGUUUACAUCCCAAAUUUAAUAAACCUUUCAAAAAAAAAAAAAGUCAAACUUAGAAAAUGACUGUGGGUUCAGGAAAGAACAGCAUAGGAGUGCCUGGCUGGCUCAGUCGGCGGAGCUGGUGACUCUUGAUCUCAGGGUUGUGAGUUCGAGUCCCCAGCUGGGUGUGGAGAUUACUUAAAAAAAAAAAAAAAAAAGGACCAGUGUAGAUUAGAGAAACUGGGCUCAGUCUGGCAAGGGUCAAGGCUGCAGCUCUCCUUGGAGAGGUAGCCAGAGAGCAGACAACACAGAGGAAGAAACACUGUAUUUAUUUUCCAAAACUGUUGGGGGAAGGCCUUUGGAAAAGGGAGAAUGUGAGUGUUUGGUUUGUAAAAUGAUAAAAAAGGGACUGAGUGUAUUGUUCUAUGGCUCAGUAGCAAUUCAAAGAAGAUAGUGCAAAAGGCUGCUUGCUUUAGCAAUCUAUCAACCGGAAAUCUUUAUUAACUGAACCUCUCACUUGACAACAAUAUGGCACUAAAAGAUGUUCGAAAAUGAUGACCCUGAUAGACUGCAAAAUCCGAAACAGCUUUCUGACACAAGAGAAAAAAGAUGAAAUGAAGCUUGGUAUGGUUUGUGACAAGUGUAUUUUAUUGUAUUCUAAUUUUUCCCAAACAAGCAAUAUUUUUGUCAUCUGUUGUAUGGGAGUGAUUUAUAUGCCAUCUAAUAACUCCCUACCCAUCCUACCACUAGAACAAUACGUUUGCCUGAUUAUGGUUGGUAUCAGGGUUUAAUAAAUACUCCUUUUCUCUGAACACGCUUUCCCCAUUGCUUGCUUCCGUGUUCCCGCGCCCUAUGCUUUAUGCCUGUCUUUGCCGGAACGUGACCCGAGGGUCCUCCGCUACCUGGAUUCUUCCCCAAAGGAGCUGUCCCUGGCCUUUCCAACCACUCACCCUGCUUGGCACACUUUCACACUGGGGUGGAGGUUUUGAGGAGGGCGCUCUCUUUCUCUUAAGAACCACGAGGAAGGACACCGGCCAGGGGAGAAGGGAAGGAACGAGCACAGCUCUUGGGAGGUAAGGCCUCGGAGCGCGGGGCGGCGACAGCUGAGUGGCGUGGAGCACGUGGCCGGACUGGAACAGGCACCGAGCCGCAGGGACCGCCCCGGGGACGCCCGAGACACAAAGCAGAACCCAACUCGUGCCCGCCGGGCCCCGGAUCCCUCAGCCACAGAGGAGGUUCUCCCGCCUUUAUGACCUUCCCAUUCCUCUCGCGCCCCUCCUCGGCCCGCACUUCGGGCUCCGCAUACCACAGGGGUCAGACCCAAAUAAAAUCCGUACAUGGACUCCAUCCUCGGGGCACAGCCUUAGCUUACCACCUCGGACCGAAGAUGGCCCCGGCUCUCACCUCCCUUCCCCACCCCCCGAAUCUCUGCUUGUAAACACCAGUCACUUGGUAACACCCUCAAUCAGACGCCUUUGGGCUAUUAUUCAUCACCGACUAACCUUCAACCAACUUCAUCUUCACAGGCCUCCCCCCAGAAGAGAGGAAAUUCCACAGCUCUGAGUUCUAGAAUUAAGGCCUCAAAAUGCAUCUUACCAAAGUGAAAGAACUGGCGGGAAGUUUCCAGAAGUCCUUGUUGAUGUCCCUUUCCUUCUGGUUUCAACGUUUCGUAAACGAUUUGGUGUUUGUGUGUGUGCGGUAAGAGAAAAGGUAGGAAAAUAGCUCUGGGGAACGAGGAUAUCAUCUCAUGGCCUGUUUUACUCUUUAACCUGGUAAUAAAUCUCUUUAAACCUCCUGAGGUAUUCAGAAUAUCCUGUCCAUGGCAAGGUCUUCCCACAGUCGUGAAGGGUAUUCAAGUUUCCUAGGUGGACAGCGCGAUGAGAUCCCAAAGGCACAGUCUUGCCCUUUCCGACCAUUCGUACACGAUGAGGCUCAAUCUGCUAAUUCUCGGAUGGGUGUGCUAAAUAACAGGAGGCAGAGUGCGGGAAGAGGCAGGACCAAACUGAGAAAAGCUCGCCAGUUCCAGAACUCAGCACAACAAUCAAGGGAUAAAGCAGUAAUUAGGCCUGAUUAUCAUGCAAGGCAGCCCCAGUUAAAUUGGAAUGUAGCCGGAGAGACGAAAGGCUGGAUGGAGAGUUUGCUAUGCAGGAAACACGCUUUGAUGUCUGCAGGGAAGGUUGUGUUUUAUGCAGCCCUCCAACCAACCAAAAAAAUGUUGCAGGAGCAAUAUGAAACCUUCUAAAAUGCAGCAGACGGGAAGCUGGAGUGGAGAGCAAGGGGCUGGGUCCAAAUUCCCCUCCUGAGUGAGUGAGUGUGUGUGUGUGUGUGUGUGUGUGUGUGUGUGUGUGUGUACUUAUACAUGCCUCUUUUCUCAGAUUUACCGCUCCAGCCUCUUGGAUAUGUCAGAAGACAGGAAAAGAGAAAAGGAGCGCACGCUCCAGCUGUUAACUCGCCGUCCUGGGCUUGCACAUUAUUACGACAAGGGAGAAUGUGUUGAAGGUUGAGGCAGCCUUUUUACCUGCUGUGGGGAGAAAGCAGAGGAAAUGGAGGUAAAUGACCCUGUGUGUCCCGGAGAGGCCUGGAACUCUGCUGACAGAUGCAGACGGAGUCAUCUGAGGCUGCCAGCUACCAGAGCUUUUGACCAACUGAUGUACGAAGAAGAAAAUGAGCCAAGAAAGGUGUUCACUGGAGGAAGUGGGAUGUGCAAUCUUGAUUUUGCGUGAAGACAGUCCAUGAAAAUACAAAAUGCAGAGACUAAAUGCAAUUUCUUUUUCUCAGAGAUUUCCAAAAUAAGAUCCUCUCACCGCUAUGGUAUACCAUCCAGACAGGCAGUUCAGUUAUUUCUUUUCAAAAGGGAUGAAGUAAGUUGCUGAUCACGUUAUCUUGAAGGAACCAAAAGAGCGUGGAUUCCAUAUCACACACAUUGCUUCUUCGGUUUAUCUCAGUUUUUUCCUCUGCUUUUGCAAGAGACAAUCCACAGAAUCAGCUGUUUUUGCUGUGAUUUCUUUUGUACCCCAGUUUACUCUUAAGUACUGUAUAAAAUAAUAGUGACAUGUAUAUACCAUCCAGAAAGAGACCACAGAAUAACUACAGGCACAAACCUAUUGCUUCUGUCACUACUGACAUUGCCACAAUACUUUAGAAAUUGUGUGAGUGAAGGAUGACUCUUUGAUGUAACAGGCUGCUCCUUUUGUCUGCCCCCCGCCAACAGUGUCACUUGAUUUAGGAGAAACUCUACUGCAUCCCCUUUAUAAAAUUUCCUGAAAUUACUCUUGUGGUGUGCAGCAUAAAUUUGGGAUAAAUAAAUUGCACAAGAUUGAAAAUAC